GCUGAGGUACCAAGCCUUUAUUAUCUCAUUUGAUCCUCAUGACAACCCUGUGAGGUAGAUGAUAUUACUAUCCCCGUUUUAGAGUUGAGGAAACUCAGGCAGACAGAGGUGAAGAGACUUGCCCAGAUUCACAUAGCAAGUAAGUGUCUGAGAUAGAAUUUGAACUCAGGACUCUGGACUCCAGGCCCAGUGUGCUAACCAAUGUGCCACCUAGCUGCUUCUAGCAAGUAUGAAAACCUAGUGUUUCAGACAAACUGGGGGAGACCUUCUGUCUCUCUUCUCUGUAUCAGUCUUUCUCUUCUUUAAACAUCCAUCCUUUGCAGAUAAGGAGAUAAAUAGUUCCUUAGCCUUAGUCCAUUCUAGCUACACUUGUCAUAGGCUCCAGCAGGUAGAAGUGAUUAAAUGAAGUCCCUCUGGGGGUCGGCUAAAGAAUACUUCCACUUGCAUAACAAAGAGAAAAUGUGCCAGCCUCCCUCCCUGUGAGCCUUGCCACAAGCCAGUGCAGGAAGCCAUCUGGAGAACGGACGCUGAAGUCAGGCAACAACAUCCUGUCAUUUUUUAUGUGGAACUUUGCAACCCGAACAAACAACGGCAUCUCAAGCUUCAUUCGUCUGAAUCUCUAGUGCUCUUGGCAGAGGUUGUAACCAGUAGUGGUUCUGUUGAUUUGCUGCAUCAAAAGUAAUUAGGUUACAGCACUCCCUGGCACAGCCUCUGAUAAUGGCAGAAGAGCCCCAGGCUUUAGCUUUGUGCUUGAUGUCACAGUGAAGUUUAUACUCAUGAAAACACACUCCUUUUGUUUGGUUCGUGGGUUGUAUUCAUUGCCGUAACUGUAAACCUGAAUAUCUCUUCGAGAAGCUUAUUUAGGCAGACUAGGUUGUCUUGCUUUCCUAAAUCAGAAUUGUUUCUUUAUCAUUUAUAGAGUUCAAAUGAAAUAGUUGAUGCCCCAGGUUGGGAGGUUGUGUUCCUAAGAUAAACGUGUGGCACCUCCAUCUUCACUUGAUGUCUUUUUUUUUUUUUUGGAAUAUGGUGGGGGAAAGCACCUAGAAUUCGGGGGUGUUGUAAAAUUAUAUCAGAUUAACUUGGAACUCAGUUCUAUACUCUUGCCCAUAGGAUGAUAAUCUUACUGACCUUUUAACCCUAGCUUGUUGGAAAACUCCACUAAGAGCCAAACUUUCAUAUAUGAAGUCAUCAAAUGAAUCAGUUUCAGAAUCUGAGUCAGAUAAAGAAACCAUUUAACUAGAGUUAAAAUCAAGGUAUCAUUGACUAUGCAAAAUAAAACAGACAUUAAUUACA
RNAcentral lists this long non-coding RNA (1293 nucleotides) under Phascolarctos cinereus (koala). Its description in RNAcentral is "lncRNA (ENSPCIG00000023678.2)". The record is from RNAcentral. Lineage: Eukaryota; Metazoa; Chordata; Mammalia; Diprotodontia; Phascolarctidae.